AUGCAGCAGCCCUUGAACUCAUCGGAUAUGAAUAUCCUAGACCUUGUCCUAUUCUCUUCACUACAUUCCAUGUCUGAUAAGCUGGUGUCUAACAAUUUAGAUGAGCUAAUCAACAAUGUGCAGCAUUAAUAUGAUGCCGAUAAGAUAAACAAAAUUUUUCUAACACUACAAAGCUGCUUAACUGAGGUCAUGAAGAGAGGUGGAGGCAACGACUACAAGAUCCCUCACGUACAAGGACUAGAACAAGCAGGAAAUCUUCCUAAUGUUUUAGACUAUGAUCGUGAACUAUAUGAGAGCGUCAUGCACGCCUUAGCCGAUUAG
RNAcentral lists this ribosomal RNA (321 nucleotides) under Triticum aestivum (bread wheat). Its description in RNAcentral is "partial small subunit ribosomal RNA". The record is from RNAcentral. Lineage: Eukaryota; Viridiplantae; Streptophyta; Magnoliopsida; Poales; Poaceae.